Ctenopharyngodon idella (grass carp) is the source of this 1152-nucleotide long non-coding RNA. RefSeq lists it as uncharacterized. Lineage: Eukaryota; Metazoa; Chordata; Actinopteri; Cypriniformes; Xenocyprididae. The transcript has 3 exons. The record is from RefSeq and is a predicted model, not a curated record.
UUAUUUGCUUUAGCAUGUUUACUCAUUUAAAAAUCAAUGUGACACACUAGGAAAUUCCCGGCAUCUUAUUUGUCCCUGAUGCAUCAGAAUAGUUUCAGAGUGAGCCACAUUGGCGCUUGCUUAUUUUGCAUGCAGUUUGGCAUCGCCUGCCAUGCUCAUUGGCACCGUCACUGGGCGUCUAAAUGUAAUGUAUUCACAGAGGUGUUUUAAUAUUUGAUUUUGCUGAUGAAUGCUACACUGUUUUCAAGGAAUUGUUGAAUAUCCCUAACGAUACAGGCGCUGGCGGCAGGCCUGUCUGCAGGGCUGUGGUGAGUCUGGGUUUCCCCGGCUGGGUAUGCCUGUUUAUGCUUCCAUUUCAAGGCGUCAAGAGGACAUCGUGCCCGUCAACACAGAGAAAGAGGGACUUGCCUGUCUCCGCUGCAAUGAUGGAUUUAGGCGAUGAGAGGCAUUUUGUUUGGAAUAUUGGGCCUCCUCGUGCCUUGGCCCCGUCCCUUUGGGCCGAACAUGCCAGACUGAAUACAUAGCUCUGAAUGAGGGCAAGAACUCCCUUGCAGCCUGUGAGAACAGCAUUCAAAGUGUCUUUCUGUGUUUGCUAGCUUACAAGUGUCUUCAUUUACAAGUACUUUUUAGUGUGUUUAUCCAGUUUAACAUUUCUAUAAUUAAAGCUUAAAACACAAAGUGUUUUUCAAACUGUACGAAAGCUGAAACUGAUUGUUGUGGCUUGCUGUUUUUUUAUUUUGCAGUCUUUUUUAUAGUUUGAACAGCUCCACCUAGUGAUUAAACACCUUCAUAACUCCAGAUUUGAAAUUUCCACUUGCAAGUUAAUGCAUGGGCUUGUAAAUUCUUGCACUUUUUGCACUAAAACAUGAACUAUUUUAGAUCCUCAUAAACAUUACACUUACUGACCAGAGAGGCGUAAACGUCUACACUGCACUGCAAAACUACACUGCUAUUACAGAAUAUGGUUUAAUACUAACAGUCAGUCAAUUCUUUUUUUUAAUCACGCAAAAUUGCUUAACUUUGUGUCAAGCUGUAAGCAGCUACAAAGAGUCUCUUUUACCAAAACUGUCCAUCUUGCAUUAGCAGGCAACAUCUCCAAAACUGUAGUUUACAGUAAAUGUUUUUCAUAUUAAACUGGGUAAUGAGUCAUUU